AAGUCGUAACAAGGUAACCGUAGGUGAACCUGCGGUUGGAUCGUUAACAAAUGAUUUGGUUUCAAACCAAAACACUGUGUGCAACUACAUCUGUCUCUGGUGGUUUUGUCAAAAUCUCUUGCCCAGUGCUCCCGAACAUCAAAUAUGUGCAGAUGUUCAUCAAAGUACGGGUUGAAAAUGGCGAGAGAAGUGACAACCACCGAAUGACCAAACCACUUGUGUAACUUAUUCAUGUCUGAAUCAUUCACAUUUUGUGCAAUGAAAAACAAUUUUUAACAACGGAUCUCUUGGUUCUC
Molecule: unclassified non-coding RNA, 296 nt
Filed under: fungal sp.
Lineage: Eukaryota; Fungi
Description: partial internal transcribed spacer region
Rfam family: Eukaryotic small subunit ribosomal RNA (bases 1-46)
Source: RNAcentral